Long non-coding RNA from Urocitellus parryii (Arctic ground squirrel), 361 nucleotides. RefSeq lists it as uncharacterized. Lineage: Eukaryota; Metazoa; Chordata; Mammalia; Rodentia; Sciuridae. The record is from RefSeq and is a predicted model, not a curated record.
UCUCCCCCAUUCUCUCUCUCCUGCAUUAUCACAACGUGGGUUUUGCGGAUCUCCAAUCCAGCCAGCCGGAAGCUCAUUUGUCUCCACUACCUGCAGUAGUUCAAGGUCAGGCUGCACGCCCAGAUUACAUGUUCCAUCAUCUGUGACAAGCCACCGUACGAGGAGGACAUAGCAGAAUCCAGAGUAAAUCUGGAUCUCCAUGGGCAAAAAAGGAAACCGUCGCACUCUGCUCUCUAAGGCCGUUGCCCGCUGAACAGGAGCUGCAGGCCAUCGGUGGAAAAGUGGGUAUUACAAUCCUGGUACAUCUCUAAUUAAUAAGAUCAAUUGCCACUGUAUUUUCUUUUACAAACUCAUUUAGAUA